This is a non-coding RNA of Pelobates cultripes (western spadefoot toad), 397 nucleotides long. NCBI's taxonomy places the organism in Eukaryota, Metazoa, Chordata, Amphibia, Anura, Pelobatidae. The record is from the annotation of a GenBank genome assembly.
CUUCAUCAUUCGCACACAAGAAGACAUAAAACGUAGCUGUGCCAUAACACAAUGCACAAAGGCCACAGCCAGCCCCCAUAAACACAACACACCACAAGCAGCUACUCCACACACAAAGGUCACAGACACAUGCUCACAAAGACAUACAUUCACACACAAGGAUACUCUCGGUCAGACACAAACUUUCAGGCACAUACAUAGGGAGACAAUGGCAGACACACUCAGAAAUACACACACCGGCACUUAUGUAUACAUACCUACCAGUCGUGUAUAAAUGAUUAGCAUAAUUACGAAUUAAAUUUGUUUAUUACAAAAUAAUUGAGUUUGAAAAUUAUGUCAUAACUUCAGUCAGAGAGCUCACAACGCAGCGGGACAGGGAUCUGCGACACUGCAAGCC